RNAcentral lists this ribosomal RNA (253 nucleotides) under uncultured bacterium. RNAcentral describes it as "partial 16S ribosomal RNA". It matches the Rfam family "Bacterial small subunit ribosomal RNA", at positions 524 to 776 of the family's 1533-position model. The record is from RNAcentral.
GACAGAGGAGCCAAGCGUUGUCCGGAUUGACUGGGCGUAAAGCGCACGCAGGCGGCCCGGCGCGUGGGGUGUGAAAGCUGGCGGCUUAACUGCCAGACGCCAUCCCAUACGGCUGGGCUCGAGCCCUGCAGAGGUCCAUGGAAUUGCCGGUGUAGUGGUGAAAUGCGUAGAGAUCGACAGGAACACCCAGGGGGAAACCAGUGGACUGGGCAGGAGCUGACGCUCAGGUGCGAAAGCGUGGGGAGCGAACCGG